CGUUAGCGGCGGACGGGUGAGUAACACGUGGGUAACCUACCUAUAAGACUGGGAUAACUUCGGGAAACCGGAGCUAAUACCGGAUAAUAUUUCGAACCGCAUGGUUCGAUAGUGAAAGAUGGUUUUGCUAUCACUUAUAGAUGGACCUGCGCCGUAUUAGCUAGUUGGUAAGGUAACGGCUUACCAAGGCGACGAUACGUAGCCGACCUGAGAGGGUGAUCGGCCACACUGGAACUGAGACACGGUCCAGACUCCUACGGGAGGCAGCAGAU
This 272-nucleotide ribosomal RNA is filed under the name uncultured Staphylococcus sp. Its description in RNAcentral is "partial 16S ribosomal RNA". It matches the Rfam family "Bacterial small subunit ribosomal RNA", at positions 90 to 354 of the family's 1533-position model. The record is from RNAcentral. Lineage: Bacteria; Bacillati; Bacillota; Bacilli; Caryophanales; Staphylococcaceae.